AUUGAACGCUGGCGGCAGGCCUAACACAUGCAAGUCGAGCGGAUGAAGGGAGCUUGCUCCUGGAUUCAGCGGCGGACGGGUGAGUAAUGCCUAGGAAUCUGCCUGGUAGUGGGGGAUAACGUCCGGAAACGGGCGCUAAUACCGCAUACGUCCUGAGGGAGAAAGUGGGGGAUCUUCGGACCUCACGCUAUCAGAUGAGCCUAGGUCGGAUUAGCUAGUUGGUGGGGUAAAGGCCUACCAAGGCGACGAUCCGUAACUGGUCUGAGAGGAUGUUCAGUCACACUGGAACUGAGACACGGUCCAGACUCCUACGGGAGGCAGCAGUGGGGAAUCUUGGACAAUGGGCGAAAGCCUGAUCCAGCCAUGCCGCGUGUGUGAAGAAGGUCUUCGGAUUGUAAAGCACUUUAAGUUGGGAGGAAGGGCAGUAAGUUAAUACCUUGCUGUUUUGACGUUACCAACAGAAUAAGCACCGGCUAACUUCGUG
RNAcentral lists this ribosomal RNA (484 nucleotides) under uncultured bacterium. RNAcentral describes it as "partial 16S ribosomal RNA". It matches the Rfam family "Bacterial small subunit ribosomal RNA", at positions 30 to 507 of the family's 1533-position model. The record is from RNAcentral.